UCCCCCCGCCCCCGCCCCCGCCCCCAGACGGCCAGACCCCUCCUCAGAUCCACGCCUCUCCCUCUCCACCGACGACAACUCCUCAUCAGAUCCUCCGCAGGAGGUGAGAGGCGAGUGAAUGGCGGCCCCGUAGGCGCUCCGCGGUAGCCCCGCGGCGGGCGAUGGCUCGGCCGAGCACUAGCCGCUAGGAAGCUCCGUCGGCGGGCGGCGACCCGGCGUUGGCGCCUGGUUGCGCCUCCGUGAGGCGCGGGCGAAAGGCAGGCAGCAGCCUGCGAGCGCAUCUCGGCGGGCGGAACGGCAAGCAGCAGCCUGCGGGCGCAUCUCAGCGCCGGCGCGCGACUACUCCUCCGCGAGGCUCGGUUGGAACGACUGGCCAUCUGGUUACGGAUAAGAGUUUACACGUUGGUGGCUUGGUGCAAGUGCAUGCUCUGUUGAAAUGGGAAGUUUCAGUUGUGAUGGCGUGAAAGGAAAUGGUGCAGCUACCGGGCAAAGAUGGGGAAUCUGAUCCAGAAAGCAAGGUUCAAAAAAUCGCUACACGCUGUGCGCGCGUUCGAGCACGGUAAAAGAGUAAUCGUGAAUAAUCGUGAUUAAAUGUGAUUAAUCGUUUGUACUAAUAUUGCCAAAAAAAUAAAAAAGGAGGUUUUCAAGAGGUCUUACACCAGUAAUUUCUUUCCUCUGGCCAUCUUCUUUGCUAGACAGAAACUGUACCUACACAAAUGACAACAACCUAAUUAGUUUAACUGUUUAAGUUCAUGAAAAAAAACAAAAAGAUGACAGCUGGACAUUAACAAUAGAUUAUGACCAAGAAAAGAAAGAAAGAAUGACAAUGAGCAUGAAAUUAACAGCUGCAGCCUGCAGCAUACCAGUCCACAUGAAGUAGCAGAUAGCCACAUGAUGACAUAGCAUAGUUCAUAGUUCAAACUUCUGACACGAAGAAAAUAAGAACUUAAAAGUCAUAGCAGCAGCUAGCAGCUAGCAGCUAAUAGUACAUAGCACAAAUGCACAAUCAAGCAAAAUAUGAUAGGCAAACACAACAUGCAGCAGUCCACAGUCCAGACAGCUUCAAUCCUAGGAAUUUGCUCUUCCUCAUAGUCACUGUCGGCUUCAGAUUCGAACUCUUCUUCUUCAUGUAAAUCUCUAGGCUGAUUCCUUCCACUCCUACGAGGUGGGGAAGAUGGCGCGGGGAGGCGUGGACUGCAGAGGUGGGGAAGCAGAGCUGCAGCGGACCGAAACGGCACGGCGGACGGCGCAGGGAGGCGCGGCGGAGGCGCAGGGAGGCGCGGCGGACGUCUGGAUGAGCAGGAGGCGCGGUGGACGAGCAAAUGCGGCGGCUAUGGAUUGGGAAGGGCACGACAGAGAGAAUGCGGCGUGUGGCUGGCGGCGGCCGGGUAUGGUGUGUCCGGGAUCGACUAGAGGACCACGAGAAAUCCAUGGGCGCCUCCUGCUGAAUCCACAGCUAGUGCUGCCUCAUCGAUGUGUGUGUUUAUGAUGUGUGUGUGUUUUUCACUUUCUAUGAAAACAAAUAUAGAGAGCUGGUUUUGAUAUGUACAUGCUAGAAAUUUUGAGAAAUGAUUGAUGCUUACAUGGAUUGUACAGAUGUAUAAGCCUGUGUGUUUGAAAUUAGCUAUAUGUGCAAUAUCUGAUUGUGAUUGAAUUUGAAAUGUCAGUUAUAAAUUGGUAAUUUGUGUA
Panicum virgatum (switchgrass) is the source of this 1689-nucleotide RNA transcript. RefSeq lists it as uncharacterized. Lineage: Eukaryota; Viridiplantae; Streptophyta; Magnoliopsida; Poales; Poaceae. The record is from RefSeq and is a predicted model, not a curated record. The transcript is spliced from 4 exons.